This 73-nucleotide transfer RNA is filed under the name Desmophyllum pertusum. RNAcentral describes it as "Lophelia pertusa tRNA". It matches the Rfam family "tRNA". Rfam says of the family: Transfer RNA (tRNA) molecules are approximately 80 nucleotides in length. Lineage: Eukaryota; Metazoa; Cnidaria; Anthozoa; Scleractinia; Caryophylliidae. The record is from Rfam by way of RNAcentral.
GGCUUCAUAGCUCAGUUGGUAGAGCAUCACACUUGUAACGCGAAGGUCAUGGGUUCAAAUCCCGUUGAAGCCA